UGAGGAAUAUUGGUCAAUGGGAGCAAUCCUGAACCAGCAAUGCCGCGUGUGGGAUGACAGGGCUUCGCCUUGUAAACCACUGUCGGAUGGGACGAAAGGAACCCUCGGGGUUCUGGGACGGUACCAUCAAAGGAAGGGUCGGCUAACUACGUGCCAGCAGCCGCGGUAAUACGUAGGACCCGAGCGUUGUCCGGAUUUACUGGGUAUAAAGGGUGCGUAGGCGGCCUUGUGCGUCAGAGGUGAAAUAUCCGGGCUUAACCCGGAGGGUGCCUUUGAUACGGCAGGGCUUGAGUGCGAGAGAGGAUGAUGGAAUUCCUGGUGUAGCGGUGAAAUGCGUAGAUAUCAGGAGGAACACCGGUGGCGAAGGCGGUCAUCUGGCUCGCAACUGACGCUGAGGCAC
This 400-nucleotide ribosomal RNA is filed under the name uncultured bacterium. Its description in RNAcentral is "bacterial SSU rRNA". It matches the Rfam family "Bacterial small subunit ribosomal RNA", at positions 355 to 754 of the family's 1533-position model. The record is from RNAcentral.